CCGAGAAUAUUCGACAAUGGGCGAAAGCCUGAUCGAGCGACGCCGCGUGCUGGACGAAGUGCUUAGGUACGUAAACAGCUUUUAUCGGGGACGAAAUAAUUGACGGUACCCGAUGAAUAAGGGGCUCCUAACUCUGUGCCAGCAGGAGCGGUAAUACAGAGGCCCCGAGCAUUAUCCGGAAUCACUGGGCGUAAAGGGUGUCCAGGCGGCCUUGUUAGUCGCGUGUAAAAUCCGUGGGCUCAACCUACGGUCCGCACGCGAAACGGCAAGGCUCGAGGGCGCGAGAGGUGCACGGAACUCAUGGUGGAGGGGUGAAAUCCGUUGAUAUCAUGGGGAACACCGAAGGCGAAGGCAGUGCACUGGCGCGUUCCUGACGCUCACACACGAAAGCCAGGGGAGCGAACGGGAUUAGAUACCCCUGUAGUCC
RNAcentral lists this ribosomal RNA (427 nucleotides) under uncultured bacterium. RNAcentral's name for it is "bacterial SSU rRNA". It matches the Rfam family "Bacterial small subunit ribosomal RNA", at positions 355 to 796 of the family's 1533-position model. The record is from RNAcentral.